This 222-nucleotide long non-coding RNA is filed under the name Mytilus galloprovincialis (Mediterranean mussel). The record is from RNAcentral. Lineage: Eukaryota; Metazoa; Mollusca; Bivalvia; Mytilida; Mytilidae.
GUGGUUUUGAUGUGUGUUUAUUCCCUGUUCUUUUUUGAAAUUAUUUGUAUUAUUUUUUUCACUUUUUGGUGGUGGUUGUUUGAGAAACGUCGAAAUCCUGAUCGCAUGAAGCUUCGAACUUUAACAACCUAUUCAACCAAACGGAACCCCAAAAAAACAAAAGCCAACCCGGUUGAGAAUAAAAUAUGGCUCGGUUUCCAAACGGUCCAUGCAUAUAUUUUC